ACAUCCAAGGAAGGCAGCAGGCGCGCAAAUUACCCACUCUCAAAACGAGGAGGUAGUGAAGAGAAAUAACGAUGUUAGUCUUUUAUAGGCUGACAAUCGGAAUGGGAACACUGUAAACAGGUUAUCGAUUAACAAUUGGAGGGCAAGUCUGGUGCCAGCAGCCGCGGUAAUUCCAGCUCCAAUAAGGAAAACUAAAGUUGCUGUGUUUAAAAAGCUCGUAGUUGAAUUUCGGGUAUUUGUUGCUAGCUGGUCUUACUGGCCAUGUUGGUUAACAGAUCCUCAUUUGCUGGACGGCUGGCGAUGAUCUUUAUCGAUUGUCGUUAGUUGCCAGAACGUUUACUUUGAGAAAAUUAGAGUGCUAAAAGCAGGCUCACGCCUAUAUAUAUUGCAUGGAAUAAUGAAAUAAGAUCUCGAUUUUAUUUCGUUGGUUUUAGAAAUUGAGAUAAUGAUUAAUAGGAUCAGAGGGGGGCGUACGUACUGUGGUGUGAGAGGUGAAAUUCUUGGAUCGCCACAGGACGAACAGCAGCGAAGGCGUUCGCCAAGAAUGUUUUCAUUAAUCAAGAACGAAAGUUUGAGGUUCGAAGACGAUUAGAUACCGUCCUAGUUCAAACCAUAAACGUUGCCAACUGUCUUUUAGAUGCGGUUAUUUACAUGACUCAUCUGGCGGAUCUCGAGAAAUCUAAGUUUUUAGGUUCCGGGGGAAGUAUGGUUGCAAAGCUGAAACUUAAAAGAUUGACGGAAGGACACACAAGAAGUGGAGCCUGUGGCCUAAUUUGACUCAACACGGGAAACCUUACUCGGCCAGGACACU
Molecule: ribosomal RNA, 811 nt
Filed under: Bdelloidea sp. MS-2017
Lineage: Eukaryota; Metazoa; Rotifera; Eurotatoria
Description: SSU rRNA
Rfam family: Eukaryotic small subunit ribosomal RNA
Source: RNAcentral